Podarcis lilfordi (Lilford's wall lizard) is the source of this 74-nucleotide non-coding RNA. The record is from the annotation of a GenBank genome assembly. NCBI's taxonomy places the organism in Eukaryota, Metazoa, Chordata, Lepidosauria, Squamata, Lacertidae.
AUUUCUGUGGUGCAAUGGGCCAAUGUGUCUGACUGUUAACCAGAAAGUUGGUGGUUUGAGCCCACCCAGGGAUG